RNAcentral lists this long non-coding RNA (4184 nucleotides) under Scophthalmus maximus (turbot). RNAcentral describes it as "lncRNA (ENSSMAG00000022659.1)". Lineage: Eukaryota; Metazoa; Chordata; Actinopteri; Pleuronectiformes; Scophthalmidae. The record is from RNAcentral.
AUGAAAAAAAAAUGAAAAAAUGAAGUACCUAACUCAACGACGAUGAAGAAAAAAAGAAAAAAAUGGAAAAGAAAUUAACUAGCCCCGCCCACAUUAUGAUAAUAAUAACAAUAAUAAUAAUAAUAAUUGUAAUGAUGAUGAUUUGUUGAAUGACGACGGACUGGAGCAACCACCGGGGGGAAGUGUUUCCACCGCUGCGGACGACCGGGAACAAAUCUAAAUUUGGGGAAAUGGAUCUGGGGGAAGAGGAGGGGGCGGGGUUUAAAGAAAUCUCUUUCCCAGCUGGACUUCCAUCGAUCCGUCCACACUUCAUCUCUCCUCCCUCGCUCGUCCUCAGCGUCGUGUUCUGGGCUCGGGCCUGGUACCAGCUCGUUCUCUGGUGCCGUGCAGCUCUGGUUGUGUCCAUCCGCCCCGUCGCUCUUUGGUAUCGUCGAGUUGUGUCGUUGCACCUUUCCCCCCCUCUUGCGACCCUUCUUCUUUUCCGACGACUAAACUUCUCCGGGGAGUUUACGUUCACGUCGCGAGGACCGAGAACCUUCGGACUUUCUAAGACGUGUUCGGAGGCUUUGCAGAGAAAAACACAUUCUCAGACACAAAACAGUCGUAGGAGUUUUUCAGAUGAGAUUCUAGAUUUUGUACUGAAACCCUUAGGUAUAUUGCUAGAGGACUAAGUGGUUUUUUAAACAUUUGUAAUACGCUUAUUUAAAAAACCUGCAAAGCCUCGCGGAAGAGACGACGUCGCCGGCGUUCUUAGAAAGGUUCGAAAUCUCUGAUCCCUGCGUCCAAAUCUGAAGACAAACUCUUUGCAGAUUUUUUCAGAUUUGGUUUGACACAUCGACUCUCUGACCACGAGUUCACACGAGACGGUGUGAACUCGCCGAGAAAACCAAGAAGGUGACGUUUGCUGCACCGACGGCAGGAAGGAGCUCGACUGGCUCUUCAGCUCUUUCCUGCGACUGAAUAUGACCAAAUCCUUCACUUGUAAAAAGUGAAAAUAUGACAAAGGAAGAGAGACAUUUGUACAUUGGACUUCAGUCGAGAGAACAUUUUUGAAUUCAUCCCUAAAUUCAAAUUUUGUUGGAUUUGGGAAUUUAAAUUUGAGAAUUUCCAUCUACCGUGAAACCACGUCGGACGGGACGGGAGCGACUGCGUGGCGCCGCUGCUUGGCCCGGGGAAAACCAUCAGAACCCUCAGCACCAUCAGAACCAUCAGCACCAUCAGAACCAUCAGCACCAUCAGAACCCUCAGCACCAUCAGAACCAUCAGCACCAUCAGAACCAUCAGCACCAUCAGCACCAUCAGAACCCUCAGCACCAUCAGAACCAUCAGCACCAUCAGAACCAUCAGAACCAUCAGCACCAUCAGAACCAUCAGAACCCUCAGCACCAUCAGAACCAUCAGCAACAUCAGAACCAUCAGAACCAUCAGCACCAUCAGAACCAUCAGAACCAUCAGCACCAUCAGAACCAUCAGAACCCUCAGCACCAUCAGAACCAUCAGCACCAUCAGCACCAUCAGCACCCUCAGAACCAUCAGCACCAUCAGAACCAUCAGCACCAUCAGCACCAUCAGACCAUCAGAACCAUCAGAACCAUCAGAUAGCACUGGGUCUGUGCUGUGGUCCCACGUUUCUGUGGCAACCGUGCUGUCGUUAUGGGAUGGCAAAAGCUACAUGAAAGGGAGACUCUGAUUUUCAUGCCUCAUGCAUUCUUCUUUUUCCUUUUCUGGAAUAUAUAUAUAUAUCACAAAUACUCUCUGAACAUAGAGCAGUGGAGGGGAAAGUACUGAAGUCAAGAAAAGGUAAAUGAAAAGGAAUGAAGAGCACGGGAGGAACGGCAGAUUGAAAGAAAGGAGAUAUGUAGAAACAAGGAUGUAAGGAAAGAAGUAAAACAAGAGAAGGAAAAUAAAUUUGGGGAAAAUGACAAGAAACAUCUGUGAUAUCUCAUAAUCUCUAAGACAAUCUGAAUUUACCAUUGAAGCCGAUUUCAAGUGACAAAAUUGAGGAACACAAAAUUGUGUUCAACUACGUCACUUUAGCAAAAUGUACUUUCCUACAUUCCACGUUUGCAUAUACGUAUAGAGGUGUAUAUGUGUUUAUAUAUAUAUUCGCUCAUCUCAGCCAUUUCAACGUUUUUUUGUUUCAUCCGCCCGACGCGCAGCGUUUUCCUCGCCGCACUCAAAACCGUAGCAGAGACAAAGACUCGGGAGCGUUGUCGCGCGGGUUCAUUCGGUUUCCUCGUCCUCUCUUGACUCGGUGAAUUGCAUGUCCGUGGUUGGGUGAACCUGUAGUCCUGUCUUUUUUGGUCAAGUGGAAAAAAAAAUGAAUAAAAAAAAAUUUAAAAAAUAUAAUUCUCAAGUCUGCAUCCAUGGCAACUGCGGUCAAUAUUUUCAUCCCAUGUGUCACCGCCGCUCUCUCUCUCCACACCACACGUUCAUUCAAACUAACUUAAAAAAAAAGAUAAUAUGGAAAUUGAUGCAUUCAAAAUUAUAUGUACUUGUAUAAAUGGUGCAACAGUAAUAAAAUGUACGAAAUUGACUGAAACCACGGGAGUUUGUGCAAGUUUUUUUUGUCGUGUGCUUGAGACAAACAAGGGAAAUAUAAAUAUAGUUUUUACUGCCGCAGAAGGAGUUUGAGCUUCAGAUGAAGUGUCGUCUGAUUGAUCUAAACACAACAAUCAAGUUUCUGAUCCAGUUUAAAGUGAAUGGAAGGUCGAACAUUUUGUUUUAAUAGUCUGCAUUAGUGAGGUAUGGAAGAGUAUCAGGGCACAAGAACAAACAAUGAGGGGGAAGAUUUAGUUAUAUUUAUUCAACAUUUUGAAAUGUGGAGAUUAAAGUUGAAAUAGUCCUAAACGUCCGUGUUGUGGUUCCAGUUCAGCUGUCACACGUCCACGUUAGCUAACGUUAGCAAAGCUACGCUAACAGCGAGCCUCUCAAAAUUCACUAACGGUUGUUUGCAGGUGAACGUGGUCGUGUCAGGACGCACGUCGACGUUCAUGUUGCAAACACCCGUCGUCACCACAUCGUCUCUUCCAGAUUCAGCCUGUCAAUAAUAAUAUCGCAACUUUGCAACUUGGUUGUAGCUAGCGUUAGCUUAGCAAACUGGCUAACAAACAUCAACAUCCGGUUGUUUGGUGCUGAAAAGUGCUUCAGGGUCACAAUGUUCGACUUUGUUAUCGAAAUGCAAGAUAUAAAAAAUCUUGAUUAAGACUAACCCUUGAUUCGUCUCUUCCUGAAUCGCUCUCUCGGCUCCUUCCCCCUCUUCUCUCUCUGCUUUUGGUGCGACUGCUCUUUGAAGCCUGCGUGAGGAACCGGUUUCAAAGCGUCCGUGUCAUUUAGCUUCCUGACUGUGCUCAGGUUCUUCACCGGCCUCCAUCGCGCUCCGUCUUCAAAGCUCCCGUUGUUGUGGGGGAGGAUCAGAAACCCUGAGACAAAGAGAGGGAACGAGACGGAGGCGACGCUUUUGUGGGACGAUCAGUCAGAUCCUGCAUCCCGCGGAGAGGAGGGGGCCCCCGGGGGCCGAACGUGGGGAAUCCGCCCGGCGUCGGUUGCUCGGGCGACUGACGGCGACGAUCUGCACCAGGCGUCCGCGUGACGGCGAUCGGACGCGUUUCAGGUCGCAGGAGACGAGACUGUCACGCUGAGCUGGAGAUGUUUCAGCGCCGCUGACACGGAGGCCUCGGGUGAAUCACGGGUCCUGAAACGCAGAGCGUGAGAUGACGAAAUGUGAAGUGAAAUGAAGACGAGCCCUGGGGACGAACCGCCUCCGCUUCAUCGCAGUGAAGUUGGGGAAGAAAAUACAGUAUGUUGAGUUUAAGAGGAAUCAUCAGGUGUAUACAGGGCGUUGAAUGAACGGUGUUGAUCAGUAACUUGGCUAGUGGAUUUUUAAACUUUCCAGCCAAUCAGAUUUUCCACUAGCCAAAUUUUAGCCAAAAAUCAGUGCCACUGAAGAUAUUUCAGCACUUUUUUAGUUUUUUUCCGAACUAUCGUUAACUUUACUACUUAAUUCUUCGGCUCCUUUGUUUUGUUUCGUGUCGUUCCGUUCGUCUUCUUCGUUUCAGCGUAGCUCGCUCGCAAUCGAUACCACGCACGCUAUAGUCACGUAGCUAAACCACACUUCCCUUAUCUGAAUUUCCACACCAGGCUCAGCUAUUUAUUACUUCUCAUACAGGAUUGUAUGAGAAAUU